CCUACGGGAGGCAGCAGUGGGGAAUAUUGGACAAUGGGGGAAACCCUGAUCCAGCGACGCCGCGUGAGUGAAGAAGUAUUUCGGUAUGUAAAGCUCUAUCAGCAGGGAAGAAAAUGACGGUACCUGAAUAAGAAGCCCCGGCUAACUACGUGCCAGCAGCCGCGGUAAUACGUAGGGGGCAAGCGUUAUCCGGAUUUACUGGGGGUAAAGGGAGCGUAGACGGUGGUGCAAGUCUGGAGUGAAAGGCCGGGGCUCAACCCCGGGACUGCAUUGGAAACUGUAGGGCUGGAGUGCAGGAGAGGUAAGCGGAAUUCCUAGUGUAGCGGUGAAAUGCGUAGAUAUUAGGAGGAACACCAGUGGCGAAGGCGGCUUACUGGACUGUAACUGACGUUGAGGCUCGAAAGCGUGGGGAGCAAACAGGAUUAGAUACCCGAGUAGUC
RNAcentral lists this ribosomal RNA (440 nucleotides) under uncultured bacterium. Its description in RNAcentral is "partial 16S ribosomal RNA". It matches the Rfam family "Bacterial small subunit ribosomal RNA", at positions 338 to 795 of the family's 1533-position model. The record is from RNAcentral.